CACGGAGGAUGCGAGCGUUAUCCGGAUUUAUUGGGUUUAAAGGGUGCGUAGGCGGGCUGUUAAGUCAGCGGUCAAAUGUCGGGGCUCAACCCCGGCCUGCCGUUGAAACUGGCGGCCUCGAGUGGGCGAGAAGUAUGCGGAAUGCGUGGUGUAGCGGUGAAAUGCAUAGAUAUCACGCAGAACUCCGAUUGCGAAGGCAGCAUACCGGCGCCCGACUGACGCUGAGGCACGAAAGCGUGGGUAUCGAACAGG
Molecule: ribosomal RNA, 252 nt
Filed under: uncultured bacterium
Lineage: Bacteria
Description: partial 16S ribosomal RNA
Rfam family: Bacterial small subunit ribosomal RNA
Source: RNAcentral